This 270-nucleotide ribosomal RNA is filed under the name uncultured Ascomycota. RNAcentral describes it as "partial 18S ribosomal RNA". It matches the Rfam family "Eukaryotic small subunit ribosomal RNA", at positions 548 to 827 of the family's 1831-position model. Lineage: Eukaryota; Fungi; Ascomycota. The record is from RNAcentral.
UUGGAGGGCAAUCUGGUGCCAGCAGCCGCGGUAAUUCCAGCUCCAAUAGCGUAUACUAAAGUUGUUGCAGUUAAAAGGCUCGUAGUUGAACCUUGGGUCUGGCUGGCCGGUCCGCCUCACCGCGAGUACUGGUCCGGCUGGACCUUUCCUUCUGGGGAACCUCAUGGCCUUCACUGGCUGUGGGGGGAACCAGGACUUUUACNGUGAAAAAAUUGAGUGUUCAAAGCAGGCCUUUGCUCGAAUACAUUAGCAUGGAAUAAUAGAACAGGA